UNGUGUUGUCCAUACUGCAGUAUUUCACUU
This 30-nucleotide non-coding RNA is filed under the name Mus musculus (house mouse). The record is from RNAcentral. Lineage: Eukaryota; Metazoa; Chordata; Mammalia; Rodentia; Muridae.